This 408-nucleotide ribosomal RNA is filed under the name Triticum aestivum (bread wheat). Its description in RNAcentral is "partial small subunit ribosomal RNA". The record is from RNAcentral. Lineage: Eukaryota; Viridiplantae; Streptophyta; Magnoliopsida; Poales; Poaceae.
AUGACAACGGUUACGUCGAUGGAUGCGUCAAGGAGCUGCGCGCCAAUGGGGACUCUUCUGCCACGCGCUGGAGAGGACGAGGCAGACCCCACGGGGACUGGGAGGCUGGACCCACCGGAGAUUCUCACUGAUCGCUCCGUCCAGGGGGGCAGACUGCAGCUGGUGGGACCUGUUGGGCCACCCACGAGGGACGCGGAAGGCGGGAGAGGUGAGCAGCAGGAGUUGGCCCUGGCCUCGGAUAGGGAGCCAAUAAUGGAGGGACUGGCAGCGGACGCUGAAGGUGGGGCCAACGAUGGGAAUCAUGCACAUGCAGCAUGCAUGGUGGCAUGCACGUACGGCGUCACCGAUGAUACAAGUAUGGAAAUGGAGGGUGUUCUCGCUGGUGGGCUGGAUGAGGGCAGGCUGUAG